This is a long non-coding RNA of Anguilla anguilla (European eel), 1105 nucleotides long. RefSeq lists it as uncharacterized. The record is from RefSeq and is a predicted model, not a curated record. NCBI's taxonomy places the organism in Eukaryota, Metazoa, Chordata, Actinopteri, Anguilliformes, Anguillidae. The transcript is spliced from 3 exons.
CGCGCCCGCCAUUGAGCUUCAAAACGUGUUUUAGAGACCCACGGAGAGUCAAUGGGUGACGUCACAGUAGCUGUGUCCAUAUUUUUUACAGUCUCUGAUCUUAACCCAAUCUCUCCUGGUCAACACACUUUCCCCUUACGUCACAUCCUUACUAGGGUAGUCUUCCAACUACUCUCGGGAAAGUAAUACAGUGCCUCCUAGUGGUCAGAAUACACUCAACCUGUAACAUCUAUUAUUGAACACAACAAAUUGCAUGGUAUGAAACGGGAAUGAACUAUUUUUUCUUGAUAAAAUCAUUGUUUUCAUAGAACUUACGACCAGAGACGUUUGCUUAACAACGGUGCGACUAGAACUACAAACCAGAGUGUCUGCAUAAGGACGGUCCAAUUAGAACUACGAAGCAGAGUUUUGCUUGACAACGGCAACCCUGUACUUUGAGUAUUUUUUGUUGCAGCUGGCUAGAGUGUCGCCGGAUUGUGCAGUACACAAGUCUUGUACAGUAUCCAGUCUUCUGGGCCAUGUAACAGUAGGAACAGAGACGAGACUAACGGCAACCAAUGAACAAGUUGAGGAUGUUUCAGUGUUGGAGGGGGAUUUGACUGACGACGUAACGUAAGUGAUGAUAACGAGGGAGACCAAGCAGCGGUGCUGCCAGAGAGAGCAGAUGAAUCCCUUUUCUUGAACAAUUUGGCUUUCUUUUAUUUAAAGUUGCAGGCAAAACUUUUACUGCCAGCAUCAGUCAUACAGUCUAUUAUUGAGGAUUUUCAAGCAGUGCAUGAUAUCAGUCAGUCUCAUUUACUUCAUAAGUUGGACGAAAAGCUGGUAUCAUUGGAUAUCUCUGACCGUGAGAGAGAGAGGUUCUUAAAUCCGAGGAUUUGUUUCGGGCAUGCAACACUGGUACCUUGAAAACUGAUCAAAGACAAAAAACGGUUUUUAAAAAUCAGUUUAGAUACAUUGAGCCAGUCCCACCUUAUCUUGGAAAGAAUGAUAUGGGAUCACAGAGUGGCUUUAGUGAAAACUUCAGUAAAGGCACCCAUUUCUGCAGAUUAUGUACUAGAGCCCGACCGAUAUAUCUAUAAUAUAUUAAUAUAUAUUAUAUAAUAAA